CAUAGCUGCAGAAGUGGUAGUGUGAUCUAACAUUCAUCUUUCUUCGUGUAUCAGGUGUUGUGAGUCCGGAGUUCUACUUCGAUGCGGUAAAUUUCAACAUACCAUCAAAGGUUGCCAUCCAUCUGUGUAUUGAAUAAUGAACCCAGUUGGUUGUGCUUUUCUAAGCUUGGAAUAGAUGUAAAAAGAACACUGGAAGACUAG
This 201-nucleotide long non-coding RNA is filed under the name Nicotiana benthamiana. Its description in RNAcentral is "long non-coding RNA (NBEN_LNC000056)". The record is from RNAcentral. Lineage: Eukaryota; Viridiplantae; Streptophyta; Magnoliopsida; Solanales; Solanaceae.